AGGCGAUGUUGGUUUGCAAACUGGCCCCUGGACACAGAGGGCAAGAAGAAACCAAGAAAGAAGCAGGUCUCUCCAGAUGGGCCAACGGAGGAGACAAAGACGAGCCAAAUGAUUGUUGCGGUGGAAAACAGUGUGUGUGCACCUGGCCUUGAGGAGAGGGAGCCUGGCCUCCUUCAGAACGUAGCCUUGUAUGAUGUUUUCAACCAGUUCAGCAUGCCACAGGACAGCCGGAUCCCCAUGGAGAUUGGAGCGGUCCGCCACCCACCCCCACAGAGGGUGCAAAGUAAUUCACCCGUGCUGGCGGGAUGUCUUACUGCAGAUUGCACCAGAUGAUGCA
Molecule: long non-coding RNA, 337 nt
Organism: Suricata suricatta (meerkat)
Lineage: Eukaryota; Metazoa; Chordata; Mammalia; Carnivora; Herpestidae
Exons: 3
Source: RefSeq, a predicted model, not a curated record